UACGUAGGCAGCGAGCGUUGUUCGGAGUUACUGGGCGUAAAGCGUGCGUAGGCGGUGUCUUAAGUUUGUUGUGAAAUCUCCCGGCUUAACCGGGAGGGUGCGGCGAAUACUGAGAUGCUGGAGUGCCGGAGAGGUAAGCGGAAUUCCUGGUGUAGCGGUGAAAUUCGUAGAUAUCAGGAGGAACACCGGUGGCGAAAGCGGCUUCCUGGCCCGACCACUGACGGCUCAUGUACGAAAGCGUGGGGAGCAAACAGG
RNAcentral lists this ribosomal RNA (255 nucleotides) under uncultured bacterium. RNAcentral's name for it is "partial 16S ribosomal RNA". It matches the Rfam family "Bacterial small subunit ribosomal RNA", at positions 524 to 776 of the family's 1533-position model. The record is from RNAcentral.